GCGUUCGCUGCCGCAUCUGCAAUAUGCAGCCGUGUUCGUCGCAGCAAGACUUACGUGCGUAUUAGCGUGCCGUUUACAAUGACGUGCCCUAUGAUGGCACACUCUAUACGUGGAUGCCACRGUACGGCUACAUGGAGCCAUGCGCGUUAGCAUGCAGCGAAGCGGAUGUGAUUAAAAAAUAUACAGAUAUUUCGUAUGUGGUAGAGGUGAGCAGCUCCUGUUCGCAGCCCGUUUAGAAUUGGGAGAUAGUGGCUACAAGAUGUCUCAAGGGGUGUGUCGAAAUCGUGUCACUGAGGACUAAUGCGCAGCAGCCCUCAACGGCCGGAAUCAUCAUUCUACAACACGCACACCUGCGCACCACGGUGGAUUACCGAUGAUUGGCGUCCAUGCAGCCGUCUCUGUGGACCUGACUACCUCAGCGCUUAGUGAUGUCUGCGGAAGAGAAUAAUGGCAUCAAGGCAACGGUACUGAACGUGUCGAGCGCCGAAAACAGCCAGCUUUGCAUGCUUGAGAAGUGCCCGAAAGGGAAGAUGGAAGAGUGACAUGGA
Bactrocera latifrons is the source of this 548-nucleotide long non-coding RNA. RefSeq lists it as uncharacterized. NCBI's taxonomy places the organism in Eukaryota, Metazoa, Arthropoda, Insecta, Diptera, Tephritidae. The transcript is spliced from 5 exons. The record is from RefSeq and is a predicted model, not a curated record.